AUGCAUCCAAAACCUGGGAGCAGUGAUGGAGUUUUGGUACAAAUUCCUUUUCUUAACUUGGUAAGCGAUUACAGCCUGGGUGUAAUCACUUACACACGCAUAUCACAGCCUCUUUCCAGCCUGCUGACAGCACCAUUAGAUGAAACCAUUAACACCCAAUUAUGUGCACACAAUCUUAUCAUUCCAACCAUAAACAAGUCCUCCCACAACUCCUUCUACCUAAGAAUUAAU
This 231-nucleotide long non-coding RNA is filed under the name Vigna radiata. Its description in RNAcentral is "long non-coding RNA (VRAD_LNC004348)". The record is from RNAcentral. Lineage: Eukaryota; Viridiplantae; Streptophyta; Magnoliopsida; Fabales; Fabaceae.